Molecule: small nucleolar RNA, 130 nt
Organism: Prolemur simus (greater bamboo lemur)
Lineage: Eukaryota; Metazoa; Chordata; Mammalia; Primates; Lemuridae
Source: Ensembl
GCCAAGAUAAGAGUAACAUGCUGACACAGCUCUUGUCCAGGUGUAUCAGAAUCCUUGGAGAACCUGCUGGUAUAGAUUCACCGGAAGGGGCAAUGAGUGGCCCCCGUUAGUGCCCAGAUCAGAAACAUGC